Xylaria longipes is the source of this 99-nucleotide non-coding RNA. The record is from the annotation of a GenBank genome assembly. NCBI's taxonomy places the organism in Eukaryota, Fungi, Ascomycota, Sordariomycetes, Xylariales, Xylariaceae.
GGGGGUGUAGCUCAGGGGUAGAGCGCUCGCUUUGCAUACUGUACUAAGGCGCAGAGCAAAAAUUGCGAGAGGCCUAGGGUUCAAAUCCCUACUCCUCCA